GAUGAACGCUGGCGGCGUGCUUAACACAUGCAAGUCGAACGGUGAAGCAGGAGCUUGCUCUUGUGGAUCAGUGGCGAACGGGUGAGUAACACGUGAGCAACCUGCCCCUGACUGUGGAAUAAGCGCUGGAAACGGCGUCUAAUACUGGAUAUGUGAUGGGACCGCAUGGUCGGCAUCUGGAAAGAAUUUCGGUUGGGGAUGGGCUCGCGGCCUAUCAGCUUGUUGGUGAGGUAAUGGCUCACCAAGGCGUCGACGGGUAGCCGGCCUGAGAGGGUGACCGGCCACACUGGGACUGAGACACGGCCCAGACUCCUACGGGAGGCAGCAGUGGGGAAUAUUGCACAAUGGGCGGUAGCCUGAUGCAGCAACGCCGCGUGAGGGAUGACGGCCUUCGGGUUGUAAACCUCUUUUAGCAGGGAAGAAGCGAAAGUGACGGUACCUGCAGAAAAAGCACCGGCUAACUACGUGCCAGCCGCCGCCGUAA
RNAcentral lists this ribosomal RNA (484 nucleotides) under uncultured bacterium. Its description in RNAcentral is "partial 16S ribosomal RNA". It matches the Rfam family "Bacterial small subunit ribosomal RNA", at positions 28 to 523 of the family's 1533-position model. The record is from RNAcentral.